This 95-nucleotide ribosomal RNA is filed under the name uncultured bacterium. RNAcentral's name for it is "partial 16S ribosomal RNA". It matches the Rfam family "Bacterial small subunit ribosomal RNA", at positions 395 to 508 of the family's 1533-position model. The record is from RNAcentral.
UGCCGCGUGAGUGAUGAAGGCCUUAGGGUUGUAAAGCUCUUUCGCUAGGGACGAUAAUGACGGUACCUAGAUAAGAAGCCCGGCUAACUUCGUGC